This is a non-coding RNA of Oryza glumipatula, 197 nucleotides long. The record is from Rfam. Lineage: Eukaryota; Viridiplantae; Streptophyta; Magnoliopsida; Poales; Poaceae.
CAUGCCUCCAGCCCUCUGCCCCUACAUGCAAUUAGUUCGUCUUAUUUGAAAAAUAAAAUUAGUAUUUUUAUUGCUAUUAGAUGAUAAAACAUGAAUAAUAUUUUAUAUGUGACUAAAUAUUUUUAAAUUUUUCACAAAUUUUACAAAUAAGACGGACGGUCAAACGUUGGGCAUGGAUAUCCACGGCUGCACUUAUU